UACGUAGGUGGCAAGCGUUGUCCGGAAUUAUUGGGCGUAAAGCGCGCGCAGGCGGUCCUUUAAGUCUGAUGUGAAAGCCCACGGCUCAACCGUGGAGGGUCAUUGGAAACUGGGGGGCUUGAGUACAGAAGAGAAGAGUGGAAUUCCACGUGUAGCGGUGAAAUGCGUAGAGAUGUGGAGGAACACCAGUGGCGAAGGCGACUCUUUGGUCUGUAACUGACGCUGAGGCGCGAAAGCGUGGGGAGCAAACAGG
RNAcentral lists this ribosomal RNA (253 nucleotides) under uncultured bacterium. RNAcentral describes it as "partial 16S ribosomal RNA". It matches the Rfam family "Bacterial small subunit ribosomal RNA", at positions 524 to 776 of the family's 1533-position model. The record is from RNAcentral.